RNAcentral lists this unclassified non-coding RNA (361 nucleotides) under uncultured fungus. RNAcentral describes it as "partial contains small subunit ribosomal RNA, internal transcribed spacer 1, and 5.8S ribosomal RNA". The stretch from base 1 to 73 matches the Rfam family "Eukaryotic small subunit ribosomal RNA", at positions 1759 to 1831 of the family's 1831-position model. The record is from RNAcentral. Lineage: Eukaryota; Fungi.
GCAAACUUGGUCAUUUAGAGGAAGUAAAAGUCGUAACAAGGUUUCCGUAGGUGAACCUGCGGAAGGAUCAUUAUCGAGUUUUGAAAGCGUGGAGAGGGGCUUGUUGCUGGUGUGCGGAAACGCGCGCAUGGUGCACGGUCUUCGCGCUCAAAUCCACUCAAUUACAACCUGUGUGCACCUUACCAGAGUCGAAGUCAAGUAGGCUGAUCCGAGGCGGGCUCGCCCGUUAGUUGUAGGAUCGGGCGAAGACUUUGAGGCUCUUAUUACAAACGCUUUUGUUGUUUUGUGAAUGUGUUGAUGCUAUAUAAAUACAACUUUCAACAACGGAUCUCUUGGCUCUCGCAUCGAUGAAGAACGCAGC